CGGUGGAACAUGUGGUUUAAUUCGAAGCAACGCGAAGAACCUUACCAGGUCUUGACAUCCCGAUGCUAUUUCUAGAGAUAGAAAGUUACUUCGGUACAUCGGUGACAGGUGGUGCAUGGUUGUCGUCAGCUCGUGUCGUGAGAUGUUGGGUUAAGUCCCGCAACGAGCGCAACCCCUAUUGUUAGUUGCCAUCAUUCAGUUGGGCACUCUAGCGAGACUGCCGGUAAUAAACCGGAGGAAGUGGGGAUGACGUCAAAUCAUCAUGCCCCUUAUGACCUGGGCUACACACGUGCUACAAUGGUUGGUACAACGAGUUGCGAGUCGGUGACGGCGAGCUAAUCUCUUAAAGCCAAUCUCAGUUCGGAUUGUAGGCUGCAACUCGCCUACAUGAAGUCGGAAUCGCUAGUAAUCGCGGAUCAGCACGCCGCGGUGAAUACGUUCCCGGGCCUU
RNAcentral lists this ribosomal RNA (450 nucleotides) under uncultured Streptococcus sp. RNAcentral's name for it is "bacterial SSU rRNA". It matches the Rfam family "Bacterial small subunit ribosomal RNA", at positions 930 to 1382 of the family's 1533-position model. Lineage: Bacteria; Bacillati; Bacillota; Bacilli; Lactobacillales; Streptococcaceae. The record is from RNAcentral.